RNAcentral lists this transfer RNA (67 nucleotides) under Cellulosilyticum lentocellum DSM 5427. RNAcentral's name for it is "Clostridium lentocellum DSM 5427 tRNA". It matches the Rfam family "tRNA", at positions 10 to 71 of the family's 71-position model. From Rfam's summary of the family: Transfer RNA (tRNA) molecules are approximately 80 nucleotides in length. Their secondary structure includes four short double-helical elements and three loops (D, anti-codon, and T loops). Further hydrogen bonds mediate the characteristic L-shaped molecular structure. tRNAs have two regions of fundamental functional importance: the anti-codon, which is responsible for specific mRNA codon recognition, and the 3' end, to which the tRNAs corresponding amino acid is attached (by aminoacyl-tRNA synthetases). tRNAs cope with the degeneracy of the genetic code in two manners: having more than one tRNA (with a specific anti-codon) for a particular amino acid; and 'wobble' base-pairing, i.e. permitting non-standard base-pairing at the 3rd anti-codon position. The record is from Rfam by way of RNAcentral. Lineage: Bacteria; Bacillati; Bacillota; Clostridia; Lachnospirales; Cellulosilyticaceae.
GCUAAUAUCUGUUUUGAGUAACUCAUUCGUAAUGAGUAAGUCGGGGGUUCGAGUCCCCCUUCCAGCU